UACGUAGGGGCCUAGCGUUGUCCGGAUUUAUUGGGCGUAAAGAGCUCGUAGGCGGUUCGGCAAGUCAGGUGUGAAAUCUCCACGCUCAACGUGGAGGCGCCACCUGAAACUGCUGUGACUCGAGUCCGGUAGGGGAGUGUGGAAUUCCCGGUGUAGCGGUGAAAUGCGCAGAUAUUGGGAAGAACACCGGUGGCGAAGGCGGCGCUCUGGACCGAGACUGACGCUGAGGCGCGAAGGCGUGGGGAGCAAACAGG
This 254-nucleotide ribosomal RNA is filed under the name uncultured bacterium. RNAcentral describes it as "partial 16S ribosomal RNA". It matches the Rfam family "Bacterial small subunit ribosomal RNA", at positions 524 to 776 of the family's 1533-position model. The record is from RNAcentral.